CGAUGCUAUUAAUGAACCUUAUCGUCCAAUUCCAUCAGGGGCUAUUUCUGAGAAUGAGGUCAUUACGCAAAUCUGGGUACUGCUUCUAGGAGGGCUUAGCUUGGCUGGUUUAUUGGAUGUAUGGGCUGGGCAUGACUACCCCGUAGUAUUCUACCUUGCUCUGGGUGGAUCCUUACUGUCAUACAUAUAUUCUGCUCCACCUUUGAAGCUGAAACAAAAUGGAUGGAUUGGAAAUUUUGCCCUGGGAGCAAGCUAUAUCAGUUUGCCAUGGUGGGCUGGUCAAGCUUUGUUUGGAACCCUUACGCCAGAUAUAAUAGUUCUGACUCUCUUGUAUAGUAUAGCUGGGCUGGGAAUUGCCAUUGUAAAUGACUUCAAAAGUAUUGAAGGAGAUAGAGCAUUGGGCCUUCAGUCACUUCCAGUUGCUUUUGGCGCUGAAACUGCAAAAUGGAUUUGCGUUGGUGCCAUUGACAUAACUCAGAUCUCAGUAGCUGGUUAUCUGCUAGGAGCUGGUAAACCUUAUUAUGCUUUGGCCUUGCUUGCUUUGAUACUUCCUCAGAUAGUUUUCCA
This 567-nucleotide unclassified non-coding RNA is filed under the name Hevea brasiliensis (rubber tree). The record is from RNAcentral. Lineage: Eukaryota; Viridiplantae; Streptophyta; Magnoliopsida; Malpighiales; Euphorbiaceae.